RNAcentral lists this ribosomal RNA (459 nucleotides) under uncultured bacterium. RNAcentral describes it as "partial 16S ribosomal RNA". It matches the Rfam family "Bacterial small subunit ribosomal RNA", at positions 338 to 795 of the family's 1533-position model. The record is from RNAcentral.
CCUACGGGCGGCAGCAGUGAGGAAUAUUGGUCAAUGGGCGCGAGCCUGAACCAGCCAAGUCGCGUGAGGGAAGACGGUCCUAUGGAUUGUAAACCUCUUUUGUCGGGGAGCAAAAGACGCCACGCGUGGCGUUCCGAGAGUACCCGAAGAAAAAGCAUCGGCUAACUCCGUGCCAGCAGCCGCGGUAAUACGGAGGAUGCGAGCGUUAUCCGGAUUUAUUGGGUUUAAAGGGUGCGCAGGCGGAAGAUCAAGUCAGCGGCAAAAUUGAGAGGCUCAACCUCUUCGAGCCGUUGAAACUGGUGUUCUUGAGUGAGCGAGAAGUAUGCGGAAUGCGUGGUGUAGCGGUGAAAUGCAUAGAUAUCACGCAGAACCCCGAUUGCGAAGGCAGCAUGCCGGCUUCCGACUGACGCUGAAGCACGAAAGCGUGGGGAUCGAACAGGAUUAGAUACCCCGGUAGUC